Molecule: ribosomal RNA, 604 nt
Filed under: Pseudo-nitzschia hasleana
Lineage: Eukaryota; Bacillariophyta; Bacillariophyceae; Bacillariales; Bacillariaceae
Description: eukaryotic LSU rRNA
Rfam family: Eukaryotic large subunit ribosomal RNA
Source: RNAcentral
CCGGAUCUCAGAUCAAGUAAGAUUACCCGCCGAAUUUAAGCAUAUAAUUAAGCGGAGGAAAAGAAACUAACUAGGAUUCCCUCAGUAACGGCGAGUGAAGCGGGAAGAGCUCAGGAUGUGAAUCUGCGCUAUUAAAGCGCCGAAUUGUGGUCUGAAGACUUUGGUGUUAUCUGCCGGGCCAAGUUCCUUGGAAAAGGACAGCUGAGAGGGUGAGACUCCCGUCCGCCUGGUAGAGUGAGCCAUUUGUCAACGAGUCGAGUUGUUUGGGAUUGCAGCUCUAAUUUGGUGGUAAAUUCCAUCUAAAGCUAAAUAUUGGUGGGAGACCGAUAGCGUACAAGUACCGUGAGGGAAAGAUGCAAAGAACUUUGAAAAGAGAGUUAAAGAGUACCUGAAAUUGCUGAAACGGAAGCGAAGGAAACCAGUGUUUGUUUGUUCAUAUUUCCCUGGCCACUUGUGGUUUGGGCGCUGUGGGCUUGCGUGGGUUUACUUUGGUUGAUCCCUUUGGAAGAGCGCAGUCAGAGUUGAUGUCUGUUGCUAGCACUGGGUUCGACUUGAGUAGACGAAAUGGUUUUCUUUACCCCGUCUUGAAACACGGACCAAGGAG